AGGUGCUUCCUAGGUGCCCAGAUCUUACAUAUGUCAUCUGAUUUAAUCCUUACGGCCAGUCCAAAAGUGUAAGCUUCAUGAGAGAAGGGGCUUUGUGACAUCCAGAAUUGUUACUCCAGGGCCUAGAACACUGUCUGAAAUAUAGCUGUUACUCAACUACCAUGUGGAAGUGUCUCUGACAGGAAGAGGAAGGAGGACCUCCAACCUUGGUGAGGUAAUGCUACUCAAAAAUCAAAUGAUGAGGUCCCAGUUAAGAUGGCUGCCUGACCCAAAUAUUUCCCCUGCCUUCCAAAAGCCCAAUAAAAUGAUUGCAAAAGAAUAGCCCAGAAGAACAAAGAGAAUGGGAAGAACACCAAGAUAAUACCAAAGAUUUCAAUUAAUUUCUGAAAAACUGAAGAGGACAGAAGACUGUGGGACCUUCUUGGACCAUCUUGAGUGUACUUGUAUUCCUGUUAGUAAAUCCUGGGGCAGAUUUGUGAGGAGCUGGGCCUGAAAGUUUAGCAAGGCUCUCUCUAUUCCAUAAGUUAAUAAGCCUCCUUCACAAUAUUUCAUAGAAUUAGAGAAUUUGGAAGGGACAUCAGAAAUUGC
Long non-coding RNA from Neofelis nebulosa (Clouded leopard), 588 nucleotides. RefSeq lists it as uncharacterized. NCBI's taxonomy places the organism in Eukaryota, Metazoa, Chordata, Mammalia, Carnivora, Felidae. The transcript is spliced from 3 exons. The record is from RefSeq and is a predicted model, not a curated record.